GACGAACGCUGGCGGCGUGCUUAACACAUGCAAGUCGAACGGAAAGGCCCUGCUCUUGUGGGGUUCUCGAGUGGCGAACGGGUGAGUAACACGCGAGUAACCUGCACUUGACUGUGGGAUAACAUCAGGAAACUGGGGCUAAUACCGGAUAGGAUCUCCUGCUGCAUGGUGGGGGUUGGUAAGAUUCGGCGGUUGGGGAUGGACUGGCGGCUUAUCAGCUUGCUGGUGGAGUAGGGGCUUACCAAGGCUUUGACGGGUAGCCGGCCUGAGAGGGUUACCGGCCACAAUGGGCCUGCGGGACGGCCCAGACUCCUACGGGAGGCAGCAGUGGGGAAUCUUGCACAGUGAGCGGGAGCCAGAUGCAGCGACGCCGCGUGCGGGAUGACGGCCUUCGAGUUGUAAACCGCUGUCGCCUGUGACGAAGCGUGAGUGACGGUAAUGGGUAAGGAAGCACCGGCUAACUACGUG
RNAcentral lists this ribosomal RNA (468 nucleotides) under uncultured bacterium. RNAcentral describes it as "partial 16S ribosomal RNA". It matches the Rfam family "Bacterial small subunit ribosomal RNA", at positions 28 to 507 of the family's 1533-position model. The record is from RNAcentral.